Molecule: ribosomal RNA, 450 nt
Filed under: uncultured bacterium
Lineage: Bacteria
Description: bacterial SSU rRNA
Rfam family: Bacterial small subunit ribosomal RNA
Source: RNAcentral
GCCAGACUCCUACGGGAGGCAGCAGUGGGGAAUAUUGGGCAAUGGGCGCAAGCCUGACCCAGCAACGCCGCGUGAAGGAAGAAGGCUUUCGGGUUGUAAACUUCUUUUCUUGGGGACGAAGAAAGUGACGGUACCCAAGGAAUAAGCCACGGCUAACUACGUGCCAGCAGCCGCGGUAAUACGUAGGUGGCAAGCGUUAUCCGGAUUUAUUGGGUGUAAAGGGCGUGUAGGCGGGAAUGCAAGUCAGAUGUGAAAACUAUGGGCUCAACCCAUAGCCUGCAUUUGAAACUGUAUUUCUUGAGUGCUGGAGAGGCAAUCGGAAUUCCGUGUGUAGCGGUGAAAUGCGUAGAUAUUAGGAAGAACACCGGUGGCGAAGGCGACUUUCUGGACUGUAACUGACGUUGAGGCACGAAAGUGCGGGGAGCAAACAGGAUUAGAUACCCGAGUAUC